Hemicordylus capensis (graceful crag lizard) is the source of this 798-nucleotide long non-coding RNA. RefSeq lists it as uncharacterized. The transcript has 4 exons. The record is from RefSeq and is a predicted model, not a curated record. NCBI's taxonomy places the organism in Eukaryota, Metazoa, Chordata, Lepidosauria, Squamata, Cordylidae.
GGAGGGAAGAGGAGGAGAAAAAUGGAAUUGUAUCUGAAUAAAGCUUAUUUAAACAAACAUAAGUUUGCUUUGCGUUUAUGAGGGAAACAGCUAUAAAACAUUUGGCAACGAGAUUUUGAACCAGCUGUGUGUGUGAGCCUCCAAAGCUUGCUUAUUCCUGAAUUGCUGCAUUCUAAUACCGCUGCGGCUGAUUGUUUCUCCAGCUUCCUGAUCUGCACAACCCUUGAAGGGACUUUCCCCUCAUCAAUCCUGGACUCUGUUGUUCACUGGAUGGCUACUGCAGCAGCAUGGCUCAAAUCCCGCCAUCAUUUUUUCUUCUGCUCCAGCCCACGAGAACCUGCUCUUCCGUGGAAACAGUGGCGGUCCUAUUUCUGCAAUUACCCAUUCACUUGUACAGACCCGUGAUUUUACUCCUGCAAAGCAGACGGCUAUAUUGCUUCACUUCCUGGGCCCUGAAGGCCAAAGAAUAUAUAAUCAUUUGCUGUUUCCUACAAACUUGGAGGCAGGGGCACACCUAGGCAAUUUGGGUGCCUGGACCUGAAGGGCUUCGGAGGGCCCUCUAAUGCUGACUGUCAGACUCCCAGCAAAUGAGGUGGGCUCCUGGCCCUUCUUGAACUCCAGAAUGACUGGGUAGGCACAGACAAGGUCAGCUUCAGGAACAGCCAGGGGAGAAGUUUCAUCAUGUACAUGCUUAGGGAGGAAAAAUCAAUUGAAGCUUAAGGAGAAUGACUCUCAUUUCACAACCCAGAGAAAAUUUGUUCAUUGGCUGCAAUCCCAGGAAAGUUAUUUGGUACUUCA